CAGCACUCUACUGAGGGUGACAUAGUGAGACUUUGUCUCACCAAAAAAAAAAAAAGAAUCUCCAACUGCAUGCAAGAACAAUAUGGAGAGACUUUGACAGCUUAGGUCAGUACAGUACCUGUAGCUGUCACUCACCUUUCCUAUAAUG
This is a small nucleolar RNA of Otolemur garnettii (small-eared galago), 148 nucleotides long. NCBI's taxonomy places the organism in Eukaryota, Metazoa, Chordata, Mammalia, Primates, Galagidae. The record is from Ensembl.